Molecule: ribosomal RNA, 465 nt
Filed under: Vreelandella stevensii
Lineage: Bacteria; Pseudomonadati; Pseudomonadota; Gammaproteobacteria; Oceanospirillales; Halomonadaceae
Description: partial 16S ribosomal RNA
Rfam family: Bacterial small subunit ribosomal RNA
Source: RNAcentral
CCUACGUGUGGCUGCAGUGGGGAAUAUUGGACAAUGGGCGAAAGCCUGAUCCAGCCAUGCCGCGUGUGUGAAGAAGGCCUUCGGGUUGUAAAGCACUUUCAGUGGGGAAGAAAGCCUUGGGGCUAAUACCCUCGAGGAAGGACAUCACCCACAGAAGAAGCACCGACUAACUCCGUGCCAGCAGCCGCGGUAAUACGGAGGGUGCGAGCGUUAAUCGGAAUUACGGGGCGUAAAGCGCGCGUAGGCGGUCUGAUAAGCCGGUUGUGAAAGCCCCGGGCUCAACCUGGGAACGGCAUCCGGAACUGUCAGGCUAGAGUGCAGGAGAGGAAGGUAGAAUUCCCGGUGUAGCGGUGAAAUGCGUAGAGAUCGGGAGGAAUACCAGUGGCGAAGGCGGCCUUCUGGACUGACACUGACGCUGAGGUGCGAAAGCGUGGGUAGCAAACAGGAUUAGAUACCCCUGUAGUC